RNAcentral lists this unclassified non-coding RNA (553 nucleotides) under Hevea brasiliensis (rubber tree). Lineage: Eukaryota; Viridiplantae; Streptophyta; Magnoliopsida; Malpighiales; Euphorbiaceae. The record is from RNAcentral.
UGGCUUUAUGCUUCCCCUGUAUCAGACAAAGAAGAGCAUCUUUUUUUCUCCUUUUAACCCCCCCAAUCUCAUGAUAGAAUUUCAAUGCCUGCAUUAGCCUCUUCCAUUUAACUCCUUGCUGCAUGAGAUGAUGUGUUAUCCAAGGAGGUGAACAUGAAAUUCCCAUAAAACAUGGCUUCUUUAUCUGUUAAGGAAAGACAAUGGACUUCCCGGCGUACAUAUCUUGCCAUUGCCUGGACAGCCCGUAAUGCAGUAGCAUCUGGCUCUGAUGUCCCAUCAUCAGAAAAGACAUUUCUCCAUACCACCUUCUCUAGCUCAUCAGAUUUAGCCUCUGGAAGCAUGGCAGCAUCAUAAGCAACAAUAUUUCCAUAGAAUAUCUUCUCCAAUUCUUUCAUCCAUUUAGUCAACAAUAAGUUAACCCCUGCUUUAGAUACUCUUAGCUCCACAUCAUGAUUAUAAAUAUCAUACAGGUACUGCCCAAAUUCAACGCCCUCCUUUCCCUCCUGUUUCAGACGGCGUAAGCAAAGCCACAUAUGGAGUACAAGCAAUGAGA